RNAcentral lists this ribosomal RNA (469 nucleotides) under uncultured bacterium. RNAcentral describes it as "partial 16S ribosomal RNA". It matches the Rfam family "Bacterial small subunit ribosomal RNA", at positions 28 to 507 of the family's 1533-position model. The record is from RNAcentral.
GACGAACGCUGGCGGCGUGCUUAACACAUGCAAGUCGAACGAUGAAGCCUUGCCUUGCUUGGGUGGUCUAGUGGCGAACGGGUGAGUAACACGUGAGCAACCUGCCCAGGACUUUGGAAUAACCUCGGGAAACCGUGGCUAAUACCGGAUAGGUGCCGCGGCCGCAUGGUCUUCGGUUGGAAAUUUUUUGCGGUUCUGGAUCGGCCCGCGGCCUAUCAGCUUGUUGGUGGGGUAAUGGCCUACCAAGGUGACGACGGGUAGCCGGCCUGAGAGGGUGACCGGCCACACUGGGACUGAGACACGGCCCAGACUCCUACGGGAGGCAGCAGUGGGGAAUAUUGCACAAUGGGCGCAAGCCUGAUGCAGCAACGCCGCGUGCGGGAUGACGGCCUUCGGGUUGUAAACCUCUUUUAGUAGGGAAGAAGCGCAAGUGACGGUACCUGCAGAAAAAGCACCGGCUAACUACGUG